CUCUUAUCUAGAGUGGUGGAGGGAUGUGCCCUAUGAAGCCCGGCAACCGUCUAAAUUUAGAAAUGGUGCCAAUUCACAUAAAGUAUUUAUACUUUUGAAGAUGAGAG
Non-coding RNA from Staphylococcus hyicus, 107 nucleotides. The record is from Rfam. NCBI's taxonomy places the organism in Bacteria, Bacillati, Bacillota, Bacilli, Caryophanales, Staphylococcaceae.